Long non-coding RNA from Lathyrus oleraceus (garden pea), 1192 nucleotides. RefSeq lists it as uncharacterized. The transcript is spliced from 2 exons. NCBI's taxonomy places the organism in Eukaryota, Viridiplantae, Streptophyta, Magnoliopsida, Fabales, Fabaceae. The record is from RefSeq and is a predicted model, not a curated record.
AAUAUUAAUGCUAAAAUUAACUUAAUUAUUUAAACUCCACAAAAAUAAUGAAAUAGAACAGCAGGCCAACUUGGGCCUAAUUAAGCCCAAACGCAUGGGGUGCAAGGCAGUGGAGUGUGUUGCACAGCAAUGCUGGCUUGGGCCUCCCAAAUAGCCUAAGGCCCAAAGCGGGAGGAUGUACAUUGGCAAAACGGGGGUAUGCAAUGAAAGAUACUUGGGCCUCACCAAGGCCCAAAGCUCCUUGCACUGGUUCACCAAAAGAAAAUCCAAAAGAAGCGUACUCCGUGACACAAGCCAAAAGCACACGCGAGGGAGAUAGACUCGCCGCGACCGCGACAGGAUCGCUCCGACACUCCGCUUCUUGCUCAUCGGAACAAGGCGCAGCACACUCGACACGCUCGUCGGUAAGAAGCAAAAUCCUCGAUUGAAUCACUACUCCGAAGCUCAGUCCAAUUCGACUUCGUGUGUCGCCUAUAAUCAACUACAACGAGGUUGACACUUAUCAAUUCGAUGCUUCAGAUGCUUUCACUUCUAUUUUCGUUGUUCAAUUUGAUUUGCACCGUUGACGAUGACGAUUCGGAUUUCGCGGUGUUGUGUUCUGAGAUGACGAUUUCGAUUCGUGCCGGCCUCUGAGCUCCGAUUUAAUUUUUCGUUGUUCACUUCUAUUUUCGUUGUUCACUUCUAUAUUUGCAAACUUGGCUGCGUUUUGUACAUCGCGUUUUGGUUGUUGGAUUGCUUGCGCGUUGUUUUGCAGCUUGUACGUCAUUUUGGUGUAAUUUUUCAUGUCAUUUUUACUGCAAUGCUGACUUGCAUUCCGUUUGGCACCUGCGUUGCGUUUGGCUCGCCUUGACGCCGUCUUGGAUGCCGUUUUGCUGCAAUACGUACAGUUGUGUUUUGGUGCAGCUUUUGGCUUGUUAUUUCACUGCGUUUUGAAUACCACUUCGCUUGUGCUUGGGUUAUUCCGCUGUAGCUUUUGGCUUUUGCACUGCGUUUGGUAGCUUUUUUUUCCAAUUCCAAUUGCUUCUUCUUUCAUUUGGCUACUGAUUGGUUUUGUAAUUUAAAAUGGAUUAUUGGCUUGUAUGGAUAAUGAAAAAUUGGAUAGUGAAAUUGGUUUUGAAAAUUGGAUAUGGACUAUGUAUGGAUAAUGAAAUUAAAUAGAGAAUUGGAUAUAGACUAUUGAAAAAUUGGGUUA